AGAGUUUGAUCAUGGCUCAGGAUGAACGCUAGCGACAGGCUUAACACAUGCAAGUCGAGGGGUAACAGGGUAGCAAUACCGCUGACGACCGGCGCACGGGUGAGUAACGCGUAUGCAACCUGCCUAUAACUGGGGAAUAGCUCCCUGAAAGGGGAAUUAACACCGCAUAACACUAUUGAUUCGCAUGGAUUAGUAGUUAAAUGUAGCGAUACAGGUUAUAGAUGGGCAUGCGUGACAUUAGCUAGUUGGUGAGGUAACGGCUCACCAAGGCUACGAUGUCUAGGGGUUCUGAGAGGAAGGUCCCCCACACUGGUACUGAGACACGGACCAGACUCCUACGGGAGGCAGCAGUGAGGAAUAUUGGUCAAUGGGCGCAAGCCUGAACCAGCCAUGUCGCGUGCAGGAAGACUGCCCUAUAGGUUGUAAACUGCUUUUAUAGUAGAAGAAACACAUCUACGUGUAGAUGUCUGCCAGUAUACUAUGAAUAAGCAUCGGCUAACUCCGUGCCAGCAGCCGCAGUAAUACGGAGGAUGCAAGCGUUAUCCGGAUUUAUUGGGUUUAAAGGGUGCGUAGGCGGGACUGUAAGUCAGGGGUGAAAUACUGCAGCUUAACUGUAGCAUUGCCUUUGAAACUGUGGUUCUUGAGUACAGUUGAGGUAGGCGGAAUGUGGUGUGUAGCGGUGAAAUGCAUAGAUAUACCACAGAACGCCGAUUGCGAAGGCAGCUUACUAAGCUGUUACUGACGCUGAGGCACGAAAGCGUGGGGAUCAAACAGGAUUAGAUACCCUGGUAGUCCACGCUGUAAACGAUGAUUACUGGUUUGUUAGCGAUAUAUAGCUAGUGACUGAGCGAAAGCAUUAAGUAAUCCACCUGGGGAGUACGUCGGCAACGAUGAAACUCAAAUGAAUUGACGG
Molecule: ribosomal RNA, 913 nt
Filed under: uncultured bacterium
Lineage: Bacteria
Description: bacterial SSU rRNA
Rfam family: Bacterial small subunit ribosomal RNA
Source: RNAcentral